GGGACACGUGAAACCCUGUGGGAAGCAGGAGGGACCACCCUCCAAGGCUAAAUACUACCUAGUGACCGAUAGCGUAUAGUACCGUGAGGGAAAGGUGAAAAGAACCCCGGGAGGGGAGUGAAAUAGAACCUGAAACCCUGCACUUACAAGCUGUGGAAGCACAUUUCUUGUGUGACCGCGUACUUUUUGUAGAACGGGCCAACGAGUUACGUUAAGUAGCAAGGUUAAGCACUUAAGGUGCGGAGCCGUAGCGAAAGCGAGUUUUAACUGAGCGUUCAGUUACUUGACGUAGACCCGAAACCGGGCGACCUACCCAUGAGCAGGAUGAAGCGAAAGUAAAAUUUCGUGGAGGUCCGAACCCACGAGCGUUGAAAAGCUCGGGGAUGACUUGUGGGUAGCGGUGAAAUUCCAAUCGAGCCCGGAGAUAGCUGGUUCUCCCCGAAAUAGCUUUAGGGCUAGCCUCAAGGUGAGAGAUACGGAGGUAGAGCACUGAAUGUCCUAGGGGGUAUUGCACCUACCGAAGACUAUCAAACUCCGAAUGCCGUCAUCUUAUACUUGGGAGUCAGACUGUGGGUGAUAAGAUUCAUAGUCGAAAGGGCAACAGCCCAGAUCGUCAGCUAAGGUCCCUAAAUGUAAGUUAAGUGGUAAAGGAUGUGGGAUUGCACAGACAACCAGGAUGUUGGCUUAGAAGCAGCCACUCAUUCAAAGAGUGCGUAAUAGCUCACUGGUCGAGUGAUCCUGCGCCGAAGAUUUCCGGGGCUAAAACUUACUACCGAAGCUACGGCAUCAGUAAUGAUGGGUAGGGGAGCUUCCCAUACGGGUUGAAGCAUGACCGUAAGGACAUGUGGACAGUAUGGGAGUGAGAAUGUUGGCAUGAGUAGCGAGAUGUGGGUGAGAAUCCCACAGGCCGUAAACCCAAGGUUUCCAGGGGAAGGUUCGUCCGCCCUGGGUUAGUCGGGACCUAAGCUGAGGCCGAAAGGCGUAGGUGAUGGACAACAGGUUGAUAUUCCUGUACUACCGAUAACCGUUUGAGAGAAGGGAUGACACAGUAGGAUAAGCUAAGCACACUGUUGGUUAUGUGUGCCCAAGCAUUGAGGCAGUCAAAGUAGGCAAAUCCGCUUUGAUAAUGCUGGGAUGUGAUGGGGAGCGAAAUUUAGUAGCGAAGUAGCUGAUUUCACACUGUCAAGAAAAGUCUCUAUCGAGGUUAAAGGUACCCGUACCGCAAACCGACACAGGUGGGUGAGGAGAGUAUCCUAAGGCCAGCGAGAGAACUGUUGUUAAGGAACUCGGCAAAAUGACCCCGUAACUUAGGGAUAAGGGGUGCCACCAUCAGGUGGCCGCAGAGAAUAGGCCCAAGCGACUGUUUACCAAAAACAUAGGUUUCUGCUAAGUCGCAAGACGAUGUAUAGGAGCUGACGCCUGCCCGGUGCUGGAAGGUUAAGGGGAUCUGUUAGAGCAAUCGAAGCAGUGAACUUAAGCCCCAGUAAACGGCGGCCGUAACUAUAACGGUCCUAAGGUAGCGAAAUUCCUUGUCGGGUAAGUUCCGACCCGCACGAAAGGCGUAACGAUUUGGGCACUGUCUCAACAACAGACUCGGUGAAAUUGUAAUUCCGGUGAAGAUGCCGGAUACCUGCGACAGGACGGAAAGACCCCAUGGAGCUUUACUGUAGCUUGACAUUGGGUCUUGGUACUACAUGUACAGGAUAGGUGGGAGGCUUUGAAACCAGGACGCCAGUUUUGGCGGAGCCAUCCUUGGGAUACCACCCUUGUAGUACUGGGACUCUAACCAUAGGCCAUGAAUCUGGUCUUGGGACACUGUCAGGUGGGCAGUUUGACUGGGGCGGUCGCCUCCCAAAAGGUAACGGAGGCGCUCAAAGGUUCUCUCAGUACGGUCGGAAAU
RNAcentral lists this ribosomal RNA (1900 nucleotides) under Clostridioides difficile. RNAcentral describes it as "bacterial LSU rRNA". It matches the Rfam family "Bacterial large subunit ribosomal RNA", at positions 419 to 2338 of the family's 2925-position model. Lineage: Bacteria; Bacillati; Bacillota; Clostridia; Peptostreptococcales; Peptostreptococcaceae. The record is from RNAcentral.